Molecule: long non-coding RNA, 903 nt
Filed under: Felis catus (domestic cat)
Lineage: Eukaryota; Metazoa; Chordata; Mammalia; Carnivora; Felidae
Description: lncRNA (ENSFCAG00000053616.1)
Source: RNAcentral
CACCGUCUCCGGCAGGCAGGCUCUGGGGUCUGGGCGCCUCCGCGGCCUGCCCGGGCCCGCUCUUCCACUCGGUCCCCCAGUUAGCCGCGCUUCUCAGUAGCUCCAAAGCUAUACAGACAAUUUGUUUAGUGAAGCUCCUCAGACAAUGGAAAGUUACGAGGUUUCCUGGAUGUUGUGUUCGGGAGGCGGGGCCGGGACCCGCUGAAGGCGGUUUCCCCAGCCCCGUUCCCCCCCUCUCUGCCCCCCUCAGCCACCGGGCAGCAGAAAGAGGCGGCCAGCCUUCUCCUGCCCUUCAGCUGGAGGACCUACGGCUGCCGCGCCCGCCACCUCUGCACCUGCCAGGCUGAGGGUGGAGGGAAGAUCAGCUGGCGGGGAGAGCCUGGUUCCCGAGAUGAUCAGAUUUGAAGGGUAUUCUGAAAAAGCUCCUCCGCUGUCAAAGUUACUGGCUGCCCUCGCCCAGCCCCUCUCCGUGGGUUCUCCAGAACAAGCGCCCCGAGCCGGCGAAGCUCAGAUCAGCAUCCACGCCGAAGCGAAGGCGAGAAUUUGCUGCGUGCGGGCCCAGUCGGGAUAAGUCUUCGCAGCGCGCGGUAAGCCGGGCGCCCCACGGCUGGCCUUUUGCUUUGAGCGAGCAUACGUCUUCUUCUCCGCCAGGUAGCACUGGAAGGAGGAAGCGAUCUCUAGAUUUCCAAUUACAAGACCCUGGAUAGUAACGGGGCGUCUUUGUUUGUUUCUUUCGUUUUGCCUUAGCCAGAGUUGAUUGGAAAUCGUAUGACAGGAAAAUAACCUGUGUGGCGAAAUCCGGGCAGAACCAGGAAAGCUAAUAGCAUCUGGGAGCAGGAGCGAGAUUAUCAGAGGCGUUUUCUGGUGUUUUUGGACAGGUUGAGAGCCCCCGAAAUCCAGAUU